UGGGUAGUAUCGAAAGAGAAUUACACCGAUAUUUUUAGCAUUAAGAAUUAUAAUACAACUCAUAUCUAUAUGAAUGAGAUUGAAGU
This is a regulatory RNA element of Clostridium sp. Maddingley MBC34-26, 86 nucleotides long. It matches the Rfam family "pan motif". The record is from Rfam. NCBI's taxonomy places the organism in Bacteria, Bacillati, Bacillota, Clostridia, Eubacteriales, Clostridiaceae.